RNAcentral lists this ribosomal RNA (807 nucleotides) under uncultured bacterium. RNAcentral's name for it is "bacterial SSU rRNA". It matches the Rfam family "Bacterial small subunit ribosomal RNA", at positions 123 to 962 of the family's 1533-position model. The record is from RNAcentral.
AACGUACCCCAAACUGAGGGAUAACUGCUCGAAAGAGUAGCUAAUACCGCAUGUGCUCUUCGGAGUAAAGCUACGGCGGUUUGGGAACGGCCUGCGCAUGAUUAGUUUGUUGGUGAGGUAAUGGCUCACCAAGACUACGAUCAUUAGCUGGUCUGAGAGGAUGAUCAGCCAGACUGGGACUGAGACACGGCCCAGACUCCUACGGGAGGCAGCAGUAGGGAAUUUUCCACAAUGGGCGAAAGCCUGAUGGAGCAACGCCGCGUGCAGGAUGAAGGCCUUCGGGUUGUAAACUGCUUUUAUAUGUGAAGAAUAUGACGGUAGCAUAUGAAUAAGGAUCGGCUAACUCCGUGCCAGCAGCCGCGGUCAUACGGAGGAUCCAAGCGUUAUCCGGAAUUACUGGGCGUAAAGAGUUGCGUAGGUGGCAUAGUAAGCAGAUAGUGAAAGCGUGUGGCUCAACCAUACUCACAUUAUCUGAACUGCUAAGCUAGAGAACGAGAGAGGUAGAUGGAAUUCCCUGUGUAGGAGUGAAAUCCGUAGAUAUAGGGAGGAACACCGAUGGCGUAGGCAGUCUACUGGCUCGUUUCUGACACUAAGGCACGAAAGCGUGGGUAGCAAACGGGAUUAGAUACCCCGGUAGUCCACGCCGUAAACUAUGGAUGCUAGCUGUAAGAAGUAUCGACCCUUCUUGUAGCGAAGCUAACGCGUUAAGCAUCCCGCCUGUGGAGUACGAGCGCAAGCUUAAAACAUAAAGGAAUUGACGGGGACCCGCACAAGCGGUGGAGCGUGUUGUUUAAUUCGAUGGUAAGC